GGAUCAUUCAGGUUACACAGGUCUAUCAAAACGACUUCUCUCAGGACAGUAUACCAAAUUUCUCAGGAGAGUCAAGACCUCAUAUUUCCUUUAGUAAGGUUUAUAGAUAUGACCUAGAUGAAAACCAGAGGAAACUGACAGUGGCAAAUAAUUACCAAACUUAAAUGUGGGAGGAAUGACAGGACCCCACUGAAGAAGCAGGUGACCAAAGGCUUGGAUUUUGGACUCAUCCGUCACUUAACAGUUGUGUCAUAUUGGGCACAUCACUAAACCUCCGUGAGUGAACAGUUUUUGUUACUGUGAGGACGGAUGAAAACCACAGAAAAUUAUUCUGGUUUUUCCCCACCCUGGAGAGCUGUGUAAGGAAACAAAACUGAUGAAAUGCUGGUGAAGAACUUCAAGUGGAUAAAUAUAUACAGAUUUGCACAUGCUUGAGAGGUUAAUAACUUCUUUCAUAAAUUAUAGAGCUCCUGACUUGCAUAUUCGGGUGGUCCUUGUAGUAAAAGUAGCAGUGUUUGGUAUCUGAAUCCCUCGCAUAGGAUGCAAGGUCUUCCUACCUACUCAACAACGGCUAGCAUAUAUGUUGUGAUAAUGAAAGUUAGAAUGAUAUGCUUGUCAGUUAUUUAAUUAUUCCCCCCAAAGUCAAUUACUUGUAUUUUGGAAGAAGUAGAACUCUGUAGUGAAAACACAAAGACCUGAAAGCAGUGCAUUAAUUAUUUUAUUAAUUUCUUCUUUUUACAUUAUGGGAAACAUUCAUCUAUUUACACUUUUUUUUGUCCACACAUAAUUUAGGUAAAUAAGCCUACGAAAUUCCAAUUCAUAAAGCCAUAAAAAUGUUCCCCACCCUCCAUCUGAAGGCUUUCAAAUGAAUCUUUUUUUUUCCAAACCAAAAUAAUUUUUAAAAAUUACAUUUGGGACUUCAGAUAUGCUAGUGAUUUACAUUCCAGUUAUUUAAAAUAUGCAUCUACACAUGUUUUAAAAAAGAAAUGGUAAAUUCACAAGGGUAAGGCUUAAAUUAAAGUGGUAAUGCACAGUAGAACAUCAAGGAAACAUCUAUAAAUAACAGAAAUAUAUUACAAAUAAAUUAGUUCUAUUUACCAUUUCAAAUAUUAAAAAUCUUUAAUCCAUUUCUUCAUCUCUCUUUACAAAAAGGUUAUGUGAAUUGUAUGGAAACAUCUGCAAAAAAUAUAAUAAAUACUUAAUUUAUUUGAAGAUUUUUUGAUGUGGGAGACAAACUUCUCUUUUAAUUCCCCCCCCACCCCCGCCCCAAGAAAAUGCCCAAACACCUUUAUACCAAAGUUAAACAAAAUAAGUAGUUUCUCAGGGUACAUACAUUUUCCGUUAUGAACUAAAAAACAUUUCUACAAAUUACAUCAAAAAGAACAACAUAACAAAGGUUAUGCUCAUGGAUGUCAGUUUAAGGGGGCAAGUGGUUAACAAGCAGCUUUAUGUGGGGUCAUGUUUUAACAUCAAGAAUUAGCUUUUUAUAAAGUGUUUGUACGAUUUGUAUUUUUAAGGAAGGCAAAGGUCAUGAUGCCUGUAGGCAUUCAGCUAAAAGAUUUAAAAUUCUUACCAAAAAUAGCUUAUGAAUAUACAAAUACCAUCCACAUAGACAAGAUAAAUAGACCUUCUCUUGUCUCUCUUUAAAAUGCCCUGGGCUAAGCCAGUUUCCAAAGAAAAAUAUUGUAGGAUGAUCUUGAAUCCCAUUAGAAAUCAAUUUCUUAAUCUAAAACCUUCUCUCUACCUCAGGGCACAGAGCUGUAGUUGGGAACAUGUGUCUUCACACGGAUUGCUGCUUCCUUCCCAUCAAUCUGCGAGUUCCAAGUCAUUUUCGGGACUACUACCAUAGGCUACCCAAGGUGGCAGUAAACCUUACUUGAUGCAAACUUUGUGUGACCUUCCAUUGCUACUACGAAGUAAAGAAAAGGUGUGUUCUUUUUAAAACCAGCAAAUACUUGAAGCUCAAUUUUACAAAGCACUCAUGGUGCUUCGGUCACCCUAGUUAAAAGUUGAUUGGUUGGUUUUUUAAUAAGUUAGUAGCCCUUUUCUUGUAAACCACAGCAGUAAACAUUUGUGCCCUGUUUAUAAAGAUAGCUCAAAGCAUCAAUGGCUCUGAGAGGUAGCGAAUUCUCUAGUGGUUUUAGAAUAUAUCUGUGAAAGUAGGUGCCAGAACCCAUCACCUCUCUUAUUUAAAUAAUUUCAUAAAUAAAAUGAAAUUAGCACCUGGCUAUGAGAGUGUUUUUUUUUUUUAAGAAAAAGCUUCUCUGGUGCAAGCAUAUUUGAUGCAUGUUUUGAAAAGUCUUUCAUUAUUCAGUGGUAAUUUCUAAUGCUUUAGGCUGGGAGCUGGACAUAAAAUGCCAGUGGCAACUUUAAGAAUUACCACAUUCUAAAUGUUUAAACUGCUAGGAGUAAGGGCAUCUAAAGAUAACUCCAGCUAGAUGCAAAGUGCAUACUGCUCAUCCAUCAUGACUAAAAACAUUCUCUGCCAAAAGCCUGGGUUUCUUCCAGUGUUUACAAAUCAUGACUUUUCCCUGCUCAUGAUUGCUGAACCUUGCAGGUCACGCUUCCUCUCUCAUUACCUGGGACCUCAAGAUGAGUGGCAGUUCUUUGGAAUGAGGCAGCAUGUAUAUUGGGGUAGAACAUUUAUUUUAUUGGUUUGACAUAGGACAAAAUCCAUAUGCUGGGGUAUGACAGGCCUCUGUGUAGUAGUGAGAAGGCGAAAGAAGAAAAUACACCUGCAAUACGAAGUACUAGGUUACUACAGAUGGAUGUGUAGCAUUCGAAGGGAUAAUAGGAACAUCCAAACUUCUCUGAACACAGCUGGCUGCCAUUUACAGCGUUUCAUAAGCAGAGGUGUACUUACCAUAUAUGUGUAAUUAGGGAGGCCCCCAGGAUGGACACUAACAAAUUAAUAGAACCGACACUUUCCCCUUUAAAGACCCCAACCACAACAUCACUAUAAUACACA
This is a long non-coding RNA of Manis javanica (Malayan pangolin), 2968 nucleotides long. RefSeq lists it as uncharacterized. The record is from RefSeq and is a predicted model, not a curated record. Lineage: Eukaryota; Metazoa; Chordata; Mammalia; Pholidota; Manidae.